This 445-nucleotide ribosomal RNA is filed under the name uncultured organism. RNAcentral describes it as "partial 16S ribosomal RNA". It matches the Rfam family "Bacterial small subunit ribosomal RNA", at positions 334 to 796 of the family's 1533-position model. The record is from RNAcentral.
CACUCCUACGGGAGGCAGCAGUGGGGAAUAUUGGACAAUGGGCGCAAGCCUGAUCCAGCCAUGCCGCGUGAGUGAUGAAGGCCCUAGGGUUGUAAAGCUCUUUCACCGGUGAAGAUAAUGACGGUAACCGGAGAAGAAGCCCCGGCUAACUUCGUGCCAGCAGCCGCGGUAAUACGAAGGGGGCUAGCGUUGUUCGGAUUUACUGGGCGUAAAGCGCACGUAGGCGGACUAUUAAGUCAGGGGUGAAAUCCCGGGGCUCAACCCCGGAACUGCCUUUGAUACUGGUAGUCUUGAGUUCGAGAGAGGUGAGUGGAAUUCCGAGUGUAGAGGUGAAAUUCGUAGAUAUUCGGAGGAACACCAGUGGCGAAGGCGGCUCACUGGCUCGAUACUGACGCUGAGGUGCGAAAGCGUGGGGAGCAAACAGGAUUAGAUACCCGUGUAGUCC